This 390-nucleotide ribosomal RNA is filed under the name Gephyrocapsa sp. Its description in RNAcentral is "partial small subunit ribosomal RNA". It matches the Rfam family "Eukaryotic small subunit ribosomal RNA", at positions 582 to 975 of the family's 1831-position model. The record is from RNAcentral. Lineage: Eukaryota; Haptophyta; Isochrysidales; Noelaerhabdaceae.
AUUCCAGCUCCAAUAGCGUAUAUUAAAGUUGUUGCGGUUAAAAAGCUCGUAGUUGGAUUUCUGCUGAGGACGACCGGUCCGCCCUCUGGGUGAGUAUCUGGCUCGGCCUUGGCAUCUUCUUGGAGAGCGUAUCUGCACUUGACUGUGUGGUGCGGGAGACGGGUCUUUUACUUUGAAAAAAUCAGAGUGUUUCAAGCAGGCAGUCGCUCUUGCAUGGAUUAGCAUGGGAUAAUGAAAUAGGACUCUGGUGCUAUUUUGUUGGUUUCGAACACCGGAGUAAUGAUUAACAGGGACAGUCAGGGGCACUCGUAUUCCGCCGAGAGAGGUGAAAUUCUCAGACCAGCGGAAGACGAACCACUGCGAAAGCAUUUGCCAGGGAUGUUUUCAUUA